Zingiber officinale is the source of this 3443-nucleotide RNA transcript. It is a transcript of the gene named vacuolar sorting protein 39, with no coding region annotated. The transcript is spliced from 13 exons. Lineage: Eukaryota; Viridiplantae; Streptophyta; Magnoliopsida; Zingiberales; Zingiberaceae. The record is from RefSeq and is a predicted model, not a curated record.
AUCUCUAUUAGAAUUAUUUCGCGACAGAGCGAGCGAGCGAGAGAGAAGAUGGUGCACAGCGCCUACGACUCGGUGGAGCUCCUCAAGGGCUCGUCGGCGAGGAUCGAUGCUGCCGUCGCCUACGGCUCCAAAAUCCUCCUCGGAUGCUCUGAUUCCUCCCUCCGCAUUUACGCCCCCUCCUCCGCCACCGGAGACGGUGGUGGCGAUGAUGGGCCGCCGGCGGACGACCUAGAGAUCCAGAGGGAGGCCUACGUUUUGGAGAGGACGGUCUCGGGGUUCUGGAAGCGGGCCCCGCUGGCGAUGGAGGUGUGCCAGUCGCGGGACCUCCUCCUCUCCCUCUCGGAGUGGGUCGCCCUCCACCGGCUCCCCAAUCUGGAAACGGUGGUGGCGAUCGGGAAGACUAAGGGUGCUCAUAUAUUCUGCUGGGAUGACCGCAAAGGAUUCCUUUGCGUGGGGAGGCAGAAGAGGGUCGCAAUUUAUCGGCUUGAUGGUGGUAGAGAAUUUGUGGAGAUCAAGGACUUUGGUGUUCCUGAUGUAGUGAAAUCUAUGGCUUGGUGUGGGGAAAACAUAUGUGUCGGUGUCAGAAGAGAAUAUAUGAUAAUGAAUAGUACCACUGGUGCAUUAUCAGAGAUAUUUUCUUCAGGGAGGAUUGCUCCUUCAUUGGUUGCUCCUCUUUCCCCCGAAGAAUUGCUUCUUGGAAAGGAUAACAUUGGAGUUUUUGUCGAUCAAAAUGGAAAGCUUCUUCAAGAUGGCAGGAUAUGCUGGUCCGAGACACCAGGUUCUGUUAUUAUUCAAAAGCCAUAUGCAAUAGGUCGUCUACCAAGGCAUAUUGAGAUACGGUCCCUUAGAGCUCCUUAUCCAUUGAUUCAGACAGUUGGUCUUCGUGAUGUACGCUUGCUUCUUCAGAGCAACAGUUCCUUGAUUGCGGCAUUAAACAAUGCUGUUUAUUGUCUGCUACCUGUACCUCUUGGUGCACAGAUUGUACAAUUAACAGCUUCUGGAAAUUUUGAAGAGGCCUUGUCUUUGUGUAAGCUACUCCCUCCUGAGGAUGCAUCACUUAGAGCUUCCAAAGAAAGUUCAAUACAUAUCAGAUAUGCUCAUCAUUUAUUUGAUAAUGGGAGCUAUGAGGAGGCGAUGGAAGAAUUUCUGGCUUCACAAGUGGAUAUAACAUACGUUUUGUCACUGUAUCCAUCAAUUCUACUUCCCAAUCUGCAUACGAUUCCUGUGCUCGAGAAGUUUGUAGACUCUAAUGAUGAGCUUCUUCUCUCAAGGGCUUCAUCUGAUGCCUCAGAUGAGAUAGAAUCAUCUUUACCAUCCCAACAGAAUGAAUCUGGUAACCCCAUGCUUGAGAAUAAGAAAAUGAACCACAAUGCCCUUAUGGCUCUCGUAAAGUUCUUGCAGAAGAAAAGAUAUGGAAUAUUUGAAAGGGCUACAGCUGAGGUUACAGAGGAGGUUGUGCAGGAUAGUAUAUCAUCAUAUGAACCGUAUAGGUCAAAGGCUUCAAGUAAGAAACGUGGUAAUACGCAUAUCAGCUCUGUUGCUAGAGAAAUGGCAACUGUACUCGACACUGCUCUUCUCCAAGCUCUGAUUCUUACUGGACAACCGUCUGGUGCAUUGGAGCUUCUGAAAGGAUCAAACUACUGUGACUUGAAGAUUUGUGAAAAUUUUCUUAUGGAAAAAUGUCAGUACACAGUGCUUUUGGAACUUUACAAGUACAAUGAAAUGCACCGUGAUGCCCUCAAACUUCUUAAUCAGCUUAUUGAGGAAUCAAAUUCUGGUGGAGAAACAAAGUCUGAGCACACUAUGAAGUUCAGGCCAAAUAUGAUUAUCGAGUAUCUCAAGCCUCUUUGUAGGACUGAUCCCAUGAUUGUCUUAGAGUUCUCAAUGAAUGUUCUUGAAAGCUGCCCAACAGAGACUAUUGAGCUCUUCUUGUCUGGAAAUGUUCCAGCAGAACUGGUGAAUUCUUACCUGAAGCAGAAUGCUCCAAACAUGCAGUCAACCUAUUUAGAGCUUAUGCUUUCUAUGAGUGAAAAUGCAAUCAACCCAAAGCUUCAAAAUGAGCUGGUUCAUCUAUACCUCUCAGAAGUAGUUGACUGGUUCAAAGAUCUCAAGGAACAACAAAAAUGGGAUGAGAAACUUUAUUCCCCGACUCGGAAGAAGUUGCUUUCUGCCCUCGACAACAUUUCAGGUUAUAAUGCAGAUGAUUUGUUAAAGCGGCUUCCUAUUGAUGCUCUCUAUGAGGAGCGUGCAAUUUUACUUGGUCGGUUGAAUCAGCACCAGCUAGCAUUAUCUCUUUAUGUUCACAAGCUUCAAUUGCCAGAACUAGCACUCUCCUAUUGUGACCAUGUUUAUGAUACGGCACUCCAACAACCAUCAAGAGCAAAUGCUAAUAUUUACCUAACCCUUCUGCAAAUUUAUCUUAAUCCAAGGAGGGCGAUUAAAGAGCUUGAGCAAAGAACUGCAAGUCCGUUUACAGGAAUUUCACAAAGCCCUGGAAUUCAAAAAUCUGGUUAUGCUAAAACAAAAAUGAGCCGUCAGUCUAAGAAGAUUGUUGAAAUUGAAAGAGCUGACGAUAUGCGUAUCAGCCUCAGUGGCACUGAUAGCAGUCGAAGUGAUGGCGAUGUAGAUGAGGUAAUUGAUGAGGGAGAUUCAAUCAUGUUAAAAGAAGCACUUGAUCUUUUGGGCCAGAGAUGGGACAGGAUAAAUGGUGCUCAGGCAUUGCGAGUUUUACCAAGAGACAUAAAACUUCAGGAUUUGCUUCCCUUUCUCAAACCCCUCCUCAGAAAAUCUACUGAACGCCGCCAAAACUCUUCAGUGAUCAAGAACUUGACAUUCAAUGAGAAUUUGCAGCUAUACUUAACAGGUCAAAGAAGAGCUUUAUAAUUGCCGUCGAGCAAUAUUGAAAGUUGAUGCUGAUAGCAUGUGCUCUCUUUGCAAUAAGCGGAUUGGGAGCAGUGUAUUUGCAGUGUAUCCCAAUGGAAAAACACUCGUACAUUUUGUUUGCUUUAGAGAUUCACAGAGUAUUAAGGCUGUUAGAGGUCCCACAUCGACGAGGCGCAAAUAAUCCAUCCUUUUUCAACUCCGAAGCACGGCUCACUGCCCACAACAAGGAGCAAAGUUUCGUCUUCCUAUUUUGGUUCAGUUAUUGUGUUCUCCAUGGCAGCUUGGUGGAGAUCUGUUCGUUUUUGAGCAAAAAGCCUUAUGUUCACUUCAAGUAGCUUGUGCAAUGCCACCAUCCAUUUUGUGUUCAUCAUUCCAUUGUUGUGUCUCCUGAUCUUGAUAUCUCAUAUUUAUCAUUUUAUGUAUGAUUAUUUGUAAAAAAAAUAAUCUCUGUUUGUAUAUUUUGUUUGAUGCUGGAGGUGUUGCGUAAGAGUAUUUUCUUUAUCUUUCAGAACCUCUGCUUAAAUGAUAAUGUAUUUGUUUAAUUUAUUUUCCUGUGGAUC